This 497-nucleotide ribosomal RNA is filed under the name uncultured bacterium. RNAcentral's name for it is "partial 16S ribosomal RNA". It matches the Rfam family "Bacterial small subunit ribosomal RNA", at positions 28 to 507 of the family's 1533-position model. The record is from RNAcentral.
GAUGAACGCUGGCGGCGUGCCUAAUACAUGCAAGUCGAGCGAACAGACGAGGAGCUUGCUCCUCUGACGUUAGCGGCGGACGGGUGAGUAACACGUGGAUAACCUACCUAUAAGACUGGGAUAACUUCGGGAAACCGGAGCUAAUACCGGAUAAUAUAUUGAACCGCAUGGUUCAAUAGUGAAAGACGGUUUUGCUGUCACUUAUAGAUGGAUCCGCGCCGCAUUAGCUAGUUGGUAAGGUAACGGCUUACCAAGGCAACGAUGCGUAGCCGACCUGAGAGGGUGAUCGGCCACACUGGGACUGAGACACGGUCCAGACUCCUACGGGGGGCAGCAGUAGGGAAUCUUCCGCAAUGGGCGAAAGCCUGACGGAGCAACGCCGCGUGAGUUAUGAAGGUCUUCGGAUCGUAAAACUCUGUUAUUAGGGAAGAACAAAUGUGUAAGUAACUAUGCACGUCUUGACGGUACCUAAUCAGAAAGCCACGGCUAACUACGUG